RNAcentral lists this ribosomal RNA (434 nucleotides) under uncultured Rikenellaceae bacterium. Its description in RNAcentral is "partial 16S ribosomal RNA". It matches the Rfam family "Bacterial small subunit ribosomal RNA", at positions 341 to 792 of the family's 1533-position model. The record is from RNAcentral. Lineage: Bacteria; Pseudomonadati; Bacteroidota; Bacteroidia; Bacteroidales; Rikenellaceae.
ACGGGAGGCAGCAGUGGGGAAUAUUGCACAAUGGGGGAAACCCUGAUGCAGCGACGCCGCGUGAGUGAUGACGUAUUUCGGUAUGUAAAGCUCUAUCAGCAGGGAAGAUAAUGACGGUACCUGACUAAGAAGCCCCGGCUAACUACGUGCCAGCAGCCGCGGUAAUACGUAGGGGCAAGCGUUAUCCGGAUUUACUGGGUGUAAAGGGUGCGUAGGAGGCAUGGCAAGUCAGAAGUGAAAACCCGGGGCUCAACCCCGUGGAUUGCUUUUGAAACUGUCAAGCUAGAGUGCAGGAGAGGAAAGCGGAAUUCCUAGUGUAGCGGUGAAAUGCGUAGAUAUUAGGAGGAACACCAGUGGCGAAGGCGGCUUUCUGGACUGUAACUGACACUGAGGCACGAAAGCGUGGGGAGCAAACAGGAUUAGAUACCCUGGUA